AUUGAACGCUGGCGGCAUGCCUUACACAUGCAAGUCGAACGGCAGCACGGGUGCUUGCACCUGGUGGCGAGUGGCGAACGGGUGAGUAAUACAUCGGAACAUGUCCUGUAGUGGGGGAUAGCCCGGCGAAAGCCGGAUUAAUACCGCAUACGAUCUACGGAUGACAGCGGGGGACCUUCGGGCCUCGCGCUAUAGGGUUGGCCGAUGGCUGAUUAGCUAGUUGGUGGGGUAAAGGCCUACCAAGGCGACGAUCAGUAGCUGGUCUGAGAGGACGACCAGCCACAUGGGGACUGAGACACGGCCCAGACUCCUACGGGAGGCAGCAGUGGGGAAUUUGGGACAAUGGGCGAAAGCCUGAUCCAGCAAUGGCGCGUGUGUGAAGAAGGCCUUCGGGUUGUAAAGCACUUUUGUCCGGAAAGAAAUCCUUGGCCCUAAUACGGUCGGGGGAUGACGGUACCGGAAGAAGAAGCACCGGCUAACUACGUG
This 486-nucleotide ribosomal RNA is filed under the name uncultured bacterium. RNAcentral describes it as "partial 16S ribosomal RNA". It matches the Rfam family "Bacterial small subunit ribosomal RNA", at positions 29 to 507 of the family's 1533-position model. The record is from RNAcentral.